CAUUCAUUCUGCUAAUGGUUAAAUCACAUAUGAUGGCAUGCGCAAAGCAAAAUUUCGGAACAUCAGAUAUUUAAGAUAAUACAAUACAUAUUGCAGUGUGAAAGUAACAAACAAGAUACGUCAACUAAAUAUGGUGAACUUCAUAGCCAGAAAAACACCCCAUUACAUAACAGAUUGUCCACAAAUAUUCUAUCUUCUGUAUGCGCAAGUCAAUCUUCAAAAAGUAAAUUAAGAAACAGACUAAACUAGACCCAAAAGGAAAAAUUAAAACUUAAAGCAAACUAUAUUUCAAAUGCUUCCCACCUUGCAUCUACCCCGUGUGUGAAACAAAAAAGAAAGCUGUUCCCCAACAAAGUAGAUAUAAAUUUACAAGACAGGAAACGACCAACCAAGUAAAAAAAACGAAAAAGGAGAGAGGAGGAUAAAAAGCAAACAAAAACCAUAUGAGUAUCUUAAGCAGAAAUCCUAAAUCCCAAAAACCCCUAGGAGUAAAAAUAAAAUCUGUUAGGAGCUAACCACUGUAAACAAAACCCAAUCAUAAGGGGUUGGGUUGGUGCUAGCAUUCUAUCUACUAACUCCGCUCAGCCUAUCUCAAUAUACAGAUCUCACUAAUCACCAAUCAUCUUCACAAAGCAAGAGAAAGCGAGACGGAUCCAAUCAGAGGCGGGACCAAGUUGCUGAGUGUAGCAUUGCAAAAAAACAGUAUAAGCCAUUAAACUCAAUCACCGCCAUUGUUGGAAACAGUAGAGCUUAGCAACCAUUAGCAACACCAUUGGGUACAAUUUUACUCUCAGAUACAACAGGUUUAGCACCCUUUGGGGCAUCUCCAGUUGUUGGAACAGCUCCAUUCUCAGAAUGUUUGUUAUCAUCAUUGUCCUUGGCUAGGGUAGACUCUUUGAGCAACUCAGAGUUGACUUCAGAUUUUUGAGUAUUGGUUUCCCCAUUCACCUCUAUCUUCUCAUCAGUAGGCUUCCCUUCCCAUACCUGCAAUGGAAAGUAAAAAAAUAUUUAAACACCGAAGAUAAUUUAUCACAGAAAAAAAAAAUGAGCUAACUGGAAUGGUAGAAAGUCUUGCCUGCUUUGGGAAUUGCUGCUUGGCUUUCUUCUCCAAAAUAGUCUUCUGACGGCCCUCAUAGAACCCAAAAUCAUCCAGAAUGCAUGUCUUGCUCGAGUAUUCCUUAAAAAUUUUGAGCAGCUUCAGACCUGGCUCCAACAUUAUCUGCAUUCAUGAACUUGGAAGAUCAGAUGAGAGCACAAUAUUGUAACCACUAUACAACUACAUGAGCAGAACUUAAAUUACCUCCUGUGUAUCCCGACUGUUGGUGACAGGUUUGUUCUCAUUGUUUUCCAAUGUAAUGUGCCUCAACACGUUGUUAGGAACAUCCUUAACAAUGUGCCACUUCAAAGGAAAACAGCCCAUCCACUUGUCUUGCUGCCAAUACUCCAGACUUUUGUUGAAAUCAACAGGACCGGUCAUCUCUGCUAGCCCAACAAAUUGUCCACUGGUAUUAACCUGCAAAUGAGUUUAAUGUGAGACAAAAUAUACCAAAUAAAACAAAGGAAACCAUAAUUUGCACCAGCUAUAAGACACUUACAGAGAACAAAAGGAAUAUAGGGCAGCCACCAGAUUUUUGCUGGGCCUCUUGGUAGGCAGCAUCAAGCUUCUUGUUGCCAUUUUGAGUGCUGGCCCACACAUUAUACUUGAUGCUUUUAUGAAUGUCAUCCUCGCUGUAAGACUUGAUGACAAAAAAUUUAGCAUCGGUGUAUUCUUCUGGAAAAUCAGCCUUGUUAUAUUGUUCACGGUCUGGAGUAGUACUAUUCUUCUCUUUCUCUUCAUCAACAGUGUUCACUGGCACAUUCUGCCCUUUGACGGUCAGAACAGUUGGAACAAAAACUUUUUGGUUCUUACCACCCUUGGCCCUAGGUCCCCUGUUCAGUUCAUUCAAACCAUCCGUGUUCUCAUUGCCAUACCCAAAGUAACCACCAUUUCUUCCCCUUGUUUUGUAUUUGUUGUCCACAGCAAGCCAAGCUCGCCCAUUUGUACGAGAAUCAUAACCAUGUGUUCCAUAACCCAUACCUGAUCUAACAGAGUUCCCAUACUGACCAUAUCUUGUGUUCGGAUACAUCCUGUUAAUGAAGCCGGGGGUGGCUCCCAUGGCAGGAAUUGGCCUAGGAUGGUGCAAGCCCUAACACAAAGAGAAAAGAUACCAAAUUUCAAUUAACAUAUAUAAACUCAAGCAAAUACAGAACAACGUGAGAAUUGUGCAAAUUAGUUAUAGCAAACUUAUAACCAAAAAACAGACUUAUUGAUUUACUGGCUAACAUCUACUAUACAAAAGUGACAUCAAAGUACUGUGCAUACCAUAUAUUGAGAAUUGGGGCGGUAAGUCUGGUUCCUUGAAGCAGUACCGUUGUUGCCACUUGAUAUUGAGGAUGAGAUUACUGUGCUACUUACAGGCCUUGGCUGCCCAUCUGAAAAUAUUGGGGUAUCUAGCCAUAGGUUAGGUGAGCGUGCUCCAUCAAAACCAUAUCUGGGAUCUUGAUAACCACCAGAUGUAGGAGUGCGACCUGGCAAAUCAAAUCACCUCUUAUAAAUCAUUCAACAGAAAAUCGAAUAUGAAUUUCGAUAGGGCUGUUCAACAGGUGCAUCAAAAUUCUUACCUUUAGCAUUCACACCAUUUGUGCCAGCAUUGGUAUUUCCAUUAGCUGCUUCCACAGAAAGAGGCUUUUGAUCAGCAGCUACAGAUGUGGAAUUAUCACCCUGAGGAUGGGCAGCAGAAGUUGGCGUGAAUGGCCCACUGGUUGGUGUCAACGGCUGAAAAAAGGGAGGAUACUGAUAGUGUUGAGGGCCAUACAACUGACCAUCAUUUCCCAUGGUUGGAACUGGAGAACCAGCUGGAGAGUAGGGAGCAUAGGGUGCAUAUCCAUAUCCAUGGUGAUACACCAGAGACGACCCAUUAUCCCCAUAGACUCCCUGAAAACACCAAGUAAAUAACGUAAAUAAAUAAAACAUAGGCAACAGCGUAAAACCUGACUAAAUUUAAGGGGGAAAAACUAAUACUUACAGAAGUCAAAUCAACUCCAUCAGCAUUCAAAUAUUCCCACUCACUGCCAGUCCCAUCAUAACCUACAACAGACACACAUAUCAGAUCACAUGAAAUUGCAAUAUCCAUUAUACAUAAUGUUCAUAGGAUCAAUACAUAAACUUACCACCAUAAUAAUACGAAGGGUAUCCAUUUGGAAGAUAGCACAUGGCGGGAUCCAUAAAGUCCUGCAACACAGGGGUUACGGAGCGUUCAUACGACGGGAUCUGGCCAUUCAGAGCAUUUCCCGAAUCAUACUGGUUUCCUGUAGCCUACACAAAGUUGAAAAAUUGAUUCAGCACAUCAACAAAGAGCAUUCAAUCAUCUUCCAUAACUCUAAUCAAAUAAAACCACAUAUAUGCAAUUUUAUCACGAACUAUGAAUUAACUCAACACAUCAACACAAGUGCAUUCAAUUAUGAAAAAUUCAAAAAAUUUACCUUCUUGUUUGGCUCGGGAAUUUCCAAGGACUUCGGCUGAGAUUCUAAUGAGAACUUCUGCAACAAUUCAGCUGCUUCUGUAGAAACAAUAAAGUGAAGGAAAACAACAAAACGCAAAAUUGAAGUUCACAUGAAACACAAAACAAUAAAAUUCAACAAAAAAACCAAAUCCCAAAACCUAGAUUCAGCUCAAUAAAAUUAAUUUCAAUAAAAAAUUUCAAGCAAAAAAAAUUCAACACAAACAACACAAAAAAACGAAAUCAGUUGGAUCUAAUCAACGGUUGAUGAAAAUAGAUAAAAAAAAAUAAUAACAAGUUCAAAAUAAUUGAAGAAAAAACGAAGAAGGAUACGAUCCGCGGGAUUUGCAACGGCAGCCAUAUCGGAAUCAAAGAUGAGAUCUCGUUCUUUCUUCGAAUGAAUUCAAGAAACAGAAACCCCCAAAAAUGAAUCUGAAUCUGAAUCAAGGAUAGAGAGGGUUUAAGCCCCAAAUCAAAGAGAUGAGAAACCCUAAAAGAGUGAUAGAGAGAGAAAAUAGAGAGAACGAGUCUCGC
Molecule: long non-coding RNA, 4073 nt
Filed under: Medicago truncatula (barrel medic)
Lineage: Eukaryota; Viridiplantae; Streptophyta; Magnoliopsida; Fabales; Fabaceae
Description: lncRNA gene49242
Source: RNAcentral